This 1030-nucleotide long non-coding RNA is filed under the name Heterocephalus glaber (naked mole-rat). RNAcentral's name for it is "lncRNA (ENSHGLG00100047919.1)". The record is from RNAcentral. Lineage: Eukaryota; Metazoa; Chordata; Mammalia; Rodentia; Bathyergidae.
GAGUGGAAUUGCUGUGACAUUAACACUUGCGUGUUCAGUAGCAAUUGCUGCUACCAAGAAUUUUCCAAAGAAAUUGGAUGGUUCCCAUGGCAACACACGGGGGAUGAGACUGGAGGUAGAGGACGUAUCUCCAAGAUGGCACACUCUGCUGACUGCACAGAAGAAAGGACACAGCAAGACCACAGCUGUCAAGAAGCCAAGAAGAGGGUCCUCACCAGAAACCAAUAAUGGCAGCAUUUUGAUCCUGGACUUUCAACCUCCAGAACUGUGAGAAAACAGAUUUCUAUGAUUAACCAUCCACUAUAUGAUAUUUUCUCAAAACAGCCCAAGCUACCAAUUCUAGUCACACAGUGUGCUUCUGACAUCUUUCCAAAUAAUUCUGCCCACUUAACAAUCCAAGGUGGGAAUUAGCAGUGGAAGAUACUUGCUCUUUACAGAAAGAGAGAGAGAGAGAGACAGAGAGGGAGAGAGAGAGAACAGAUAAAGAAUGAGAGAUCAGCAUAGAGACAGAAAAACAGAACAAAUCAGGAAGAAUAAACUUUAAGUUCACACUAGUUAUAAAUAUGUAUUUUUAUUUCCCACCAUGAAGGUUAUACUGUAUCAGAAUUUCAGGCAGGAAACUAAGGGCACAGACUAAGGGCAAUCUGGAUACAGACAUUACCCAGGGUCCUACAGUGAGUUCAGUGUGUGUAUCAGCCAAUGUUCACUAGACGGACAGAUUUAAUAUAUAUAGGGAUCUGCAAGGUAGGCUUACAAUGGCCACCUACAAAGUCAGGUCUGGAAGAGUGCACAAGGGCUGUCUGCACACUGGAGAGCCUAAGGACCAAGCUGAAAGUCAAAGGCCUGGUGUUCACUGCAGAGUUCCACGAGAGCUUCUGUCAGGAAGCUGAAGAGUUGUGCAGUAGAAGCUUGGAGACUGAUGUCCAAAGGUGAUGUUGAAGACUGGAGCUCCUUUAAAGAAGCAGAAGUGAUACUUCCUUCUUCUUUUCCUUUUUAUUCCAUCCAGGCUACAAGCCUAUUGGUUGGUGAC